This 132-nucleotide ribosomal RNA is filed under the name Klebsiella pneumoniae. Its description in RNAcentral is "partial 16S ribosomal RNA". It matches the Rfam family "Bacterial small subunit ribosomal RNA", at positions 1 to 127 of the family's 1533-position model. RNAcentral also lists the same sequence under 2 other names. Lineage: Bacteria; Pseudomonadati; Pseudomonadota; Gammaproteobacteria; Enterobacterales; Enterobacteriaceae. The record is from RNAcentral.
AAAUUGAAGAGUUUGAUCAUGGCUCAGAUUGAACGCUGGCGGCAGGCCUAACACAUGCAAGUCGAGCGGUAGCACAGAGAGCUUGCUCUCGGGUGACGAGCGGCGGACGGGUGAGUAAUGUCUGGGAAACUG